AUGGUGCAUUGUGAGACUCACCUCAAACAUGAAGGGUGUAAAAUGUAAUUGACCUAAUACUUAUUUUCAUUUACUUCGUCAACACAUUUUAAUUAUCGUGAGUUUCAAUUUAAGUCCAAUUUUAAAUACUAAACGAAACCUGAAAGAGUUUAUAAUAACACCAACAAAAAUGAGAAAAAUGUUGUAAACAUUCCUAGAAUAAGUAUGAUUGUGUAAAUCCUAGAUUAGAUUUGAUUCUAGUUAUCCUUUCCUAUUACAACUUGUAUUACUUGGAGGAGAAGGAAUAUCUUCUCUCCCUUUACUACUAUAAAUAAAGGCACAAUGUAGGAGGGAUAACAACACACACAUUCCCCUACAAUUCUACAAACACAUAUCACUCUCCUCUCUCUCUCUGCCGCCGGCCCUAGUCUCUCUGUCAGAUAAAUAUAGACCACAACACGUUAUCAGCACACUCCUACCGCUGCACUUAGGAAUCUGACGUUGGAGAUUUUUUCUGCAUCAAACCAGUUCAUCCAUAUCAUCACGCAAUCAGGUUCUUUUCCAAACAACGGCUUUUAACUCGAUAUUUUGCAAGCCCUGAUAGCAUGAACAUUCACCAUGAUGCAUGACCCAACUUUACGUUUUACGUAUUUUAGAUUCUACAUAAAUUGUGUAUGCUUCAUAACCAAAAUUGCUACAAUUAUGUGAAUUUGAUAUUUACCAUGAAUUGAAUCUUACAUAUGUACAUGCAUUGAAACUAUUAUUUGCAUAUGCAUCAACGUAAAUAUGUGAUUCAUUAAAAUUAUACAUGCAUAUAAUAUAAUUGAAUUGAAAAAAUUUGGAAUUGGGGAAUUAGGGUUCUGUACGAACCCGUGCACUUGCACCAUGCAAGCCGCAAGCCACCAGGC
RNAcentral lists this long non-coding RNA (887 nucleotides) under Malus domestica (apple). RNAcentral describes it as "long non-coding RNA (MDOM_LNC007579)". Lineage: Eukaryota; Viridiplantae; Streptophyta; Magnoliopsida; Rosales; Rosaceae. The record is from RNAcentral.